This is a long non-coding RNA of Brassica oleracea var. oleracea, 1009 nucleotides long. RefSeq lists it as uncharacterized. The record is from RefSeq and is a predicted model, not a curated record. NCBI's taxonomy places the organism in Eukaryota, Viridiplantae, Streptophyta, Magnoliopsida, Brassicales, Brassicaceae. The transcript has 5 exons.
AGAGCUCAUCCUUUCGCAGUCUUCCUAACCGUAUAUCUCCAAAACAAACAAACUUACUUUUCCGAAAUUGCAGAAACCAUUAACCCUUGAUUCUUUUGCCAUGCGGAUUCCUAUUGUUUAUUGAUAUUCUUCUAAAAAAAUUGCAACGCAUUGAUUUUCUGAACAAAAUCUUUGCAAAUAACGUUUAAAGCUUUAUCCUUUUUAUGUCUCCUAUAUAUUUGCAUCUACGAAAUCUUUGCGAUGAAUCUACGAAAUCUCUGCUAAUUACCAGCUCCAACAAUGGCUAAUUCCUUCAUCAUUCUUGCUGAUUUGAAAGCCGGUCGCUGUUCGACCAGAGCCGAGGAGGUUUUGAGAGUCUAGGAUUGUGUCUCAAGAUGUGAAUGCUCUCGCUCUCCAAUCCUACAGCGGCAAGGACAAAUCUCUAGGCGUUCUUGCUCCAAUUUCGUGAGACUAUAUAACCGAGAUGAUGUUGAUUUGUUUUGAAUCGAUGAUGUUGCGGCCAAAUUAGGAGUUGAACGUUGGCGUAUAUAUGAUGUGGUCGAUAUAUUGGAGAACAUUGGGGUUUUGUCUAGAAAAAUGGAAGAAUCUUCACUCUUGGAAAGGUUUUGUUCAGAUUCUUCGCUUUUUGCAUCGACUCAAGGAAGAAGGUUUGAGAAAGGGUUUUGGUAUCUCGAGUAUCUGCAGCAUGUUUUUGAAUCUAGGGGUUUUCAAUUUUCAGACAGUGAUCAUGCGGUUGGAGACUCGGUAGAGAGCUGCAAAGAUGAGUCUAAGCCUCAGAAAUGUCCUAAAUAGAAGUGGGAAGAUGUAGAGCUAAAGGUCCCGAAAACUUAGAAGAACAAUAACAAUGUGUGCGAGUUGUUCUAUGAUACAAAAACGGUGACAAAUGGGCUAAAGAGAUUGAUGGAAACCAUUCUUCUGGAGAUUCUAAUGAGGCUGGAACGAAGCUAGGAGUUCAUAACAUCAAUGCUAACAGUGGUUUUCCUGAGACAGUUGAUCUGGUGUUUUAUAU